GAUGAACGCUAGCUACAGGCUUAACACAUGCAAGUCGAGGGGCAGCAUCAUCAAAGCUUGCUUUGAUGGAUGGCGACCGGCGCACGGGUGAGUAACACGUAUCCAACCUGCCGACAACACUGGGAUAGCCUUUCGAAAGAAAGAUUAAUACCCGAUGGCAUAGUUCUUCCGCAUGGUAGAACUAUUAAAGGAUUUCGGUCAUCGAUGGGGAUGCGUUCCAUUAGGUUGUUGGCGGGGUAACGGCCCACCAAGCCUUCGAUGGAUAGGGGUUCUGAGAGGAAGGUCCCCCACAUUGGAACUGAGACACGGUCCAAACUCCUACGGGAGGCAGCAGUGAGGAAUAUUGGUCAAUGGACGAGAGUCUGAACCAGCCAAGUAGCGUGAAGGAUGACUGCCCUAUGGGUUGUAAACUUCUUUUAUACGGGAAUAAAGUGAGGCACGUGUGCCUUUUUGUAUGUACCGUAUGAAUAAGGAUCGGCUAACUCCGUG
This 489-nucleotide ribosomal RNA is filed under the name uncultured bacterium. RNAcentral describes it as "bacterial SSU rRNA". It matches the Rfam family "Bacterial small subunit ribosomal RNA", at positions 28 to 507 of the family's 1533-position model. The record is from RNAcentral.